ACGGAGGAUCCAAGCGUUAUCCGGAUUUAUUGGGUUUAAAGGGUGCGUAGGCGGCUUAUUAAGUCAGGGGUGAAAGACGGUGGCUCAACCAUCGCAGUGCCUUUGAUACUGAUGAGCUUGAAUAUACUAGAGGUAGGCGGAAUGUGACAAGUAGCGGUGAAAUGCAUAGAUAUGUCACAGAACACCGAUUGCGAAGGCAGCUUACUAUGGUAUUAUUGACGCUGAGGCACGAAAGCGUGGGGAUCAAACAGG
Molecule: ribosomal RNA, 252 nt
Filed under: uncultured bacterium
Lineage: Bacteria
Description: partial 16S ribosomal RNA
Rfam family: Bacterial small subunit ribosomal RNA
Source: RNAcentral